UGGGGAAUAUUGCACAAUGGGGGAAACCCUGAUGCAGCAACGCCGCGUGAGUGAAGAAGUAUUUCGGUAUGUAAAGCUCUAUCAGCAGGGAAGAUAAUGACGGUACCUGACUAAGAAGCUCCGGCUAAAUACGUGCCAGCAGCCGCGGUAAUACGUAUGGAGCAAGCGUUAUCCGGAUUUACUGGGUGUAAAGGGUGCGUAGGUGGCAGUGCAAGUCAGAUGUGAAAGGCCGGGGCUCAACCCCGGAGCUGCAUUUGAAACUGCAUAGCUAGAGUACAGGAGAGGCAGGCGGAAUUCCUAGUGUAGCGGUGAAAUGCGUAGAUAUUAGGAGGAACACCAGUGGCGAAGGCGGCCUGCUGGACUGUUACUGACACUGAGGCACGAAAGCGUGGGGAGCAAACAGG
This 404-nucleotide ribosomal RNA is filed under the name uncultured bacterium. RNAcentral's name for it is "bacterial SSU rRNA". It matches the Rfam family "Bacterial small subunit ribosomal RNA", at positions 355 to 776 of the family's 1533-position model. The record is from RNAcentral. RNAcentral also lists the same sequence under 1 other name.